ACGAACGCUGGCGGCGUGCCUAAUACAUGCAAGUAGAACGCUGAAGGAGGAGCUUGCUCUUCUGGAAGAGUUGCGAACGGGUGAGUAACGCGUAGGUAACCUGCCUGGUAGCGGGGGAUAACUAUUGGAAACGAUAGCUAAUACCGCAUAAGGUUGAAUAUCGCAUGAUAAUUGAUUAAAAGAUGCAAAUGCAUCACUACCAGAUGGACCUGCGUUGUAUUAGCUAGUAGGUGAGGUAACGGCUCACCUAGGCGACGAUACAUAGCCGACCUGAGAGGGUGAUCGGCCACACUGGGACUGAGACACGGCCCAGACUCCUACGGGAGGCAGCAGUAGGGAAUCUUCGGCAAUGGGGGCAACCCUGACCGAGCAACGCCGCGUGAGUGAAGAAGGUUUUCGGAUCGUAAAGCUCUGUUGUAAGAGAAGAACGAGUGUGAGAGUGGAAAGUUCACACUGUGACGGUAUCUUACCAGAAAGGGACGGCUAACUACGUGCCAGCAGCCGCGGUAAUACGUAGGCCCCGAGCGUUGUCCGGAUUUAUUGGGCGUAAAGCGAGCGCAGGCGGUUAGAUAAGUCUGAAGUUAAAGGCUGUGGCUUAACCAUAGUACGCUUUGGAAACUGUUUAACUUGAGUGCAGAAGGGGAGAGUGGAAUUCCAUGUGUAGCGGUGAAAUGCGUAGAUAUAUGGAGGAACACCGGUGGCGAAAGCGGCUCUCUGGUCUGUAACUGACGCUGAGGCUCGAAAGCGUGGGGAGCGAACAGGAUUAGAUACCCUGGUAGUCCACGCCGUAAACGAUGAGUGCUAGGUGUUAGGCCCUUUCCGGGGCUUAGUGCCGUAGCUAACGCAUUAAGCACUCCGCCUGGGGAGUACG
This 871-nucleotide ribosomal RNA is filed under the name uncultured Streptococcus sp. Its description in RNAcentral is "bacterial SSU rRNA". It matches the Rfam family "Bacterial small subunit ribosomal RNA", at positions 29 to 884 of the family's 1533-position model. The record is from RNAcentral. Lineage: Bacteria; Bacillati; Bacillota; Bacilli; Lactobacillales; Streptococcaceae.